Molecule: ribosomal RNA, 267 nt
Filed under: uncultured bacterium
Lineage: Bacteria
Description: partial 16S ribosomal RNA
Source: RNAcentral
CUGCUGCCUUCCGUAGGAGUCUGGGCCGUGUCUCAGUCCCAGUGUGGCCGUCCACCCUCUCAGGCCGGCUGCUGAUCGUCGCUUUGGUGGGCCGUUACCCCGCCAACUGGCUAAUCAGACGCGGGCCCAUCCUGUACCACCGGAGUUUUUAAAGGAUUACCAUGCGGUAUUCCCUAUUAUGCGGUAUUAGCACCUAUUUCUAAGUGUUAUCCCCCGGUACAGGGCAGGUUGCCCACGCGUUACUCACCCGUCCGCCACUAAGACAGA